UUUAAGCAUUGUCAUGAGUUUCCGUGUUCAACUUUGAUCAUCCGUUUUAUUUUAAAUUCUUUUUUAUGAUUAGUUUUUUUUGUUAUUAGAGAUAAAAAAGUAUUUUAGGUGUGACUUAUGUUUUUUAUUUUUAUUCAAAAAAAUUUCAAAUAGGUGGACGAUUAAAGUUACACAUGAAAACUCAUAGCUGCACUUAAA
Oryza sativa Japonica Group (Japanese rice) is the source of this 198-nucleotide microRNA precursor. It matches the Rfam family "MIR812 microRNA precursor family". Lineage: Eukaryota; Viridiplantae; Streptophyta; Magnoliopsida; Poales; Poaceae. The record is from Rfam.